This is a long non-coding RNA of Felis catus (domestic cat), 1520 nucleotides long. RefSeq lists it as uncharacterized. The record is from RefSeq and is a predicted model, not a curated record. The transcript has 3 exons. Lineage: Eukaryota; Metazoa; Chordata; Mammalia; Carnivora; Felidae.
UUCUUCUUUCGAGACUGCAAGUCAGAUUCCUCAGGACCCCAGUCCGAGUGAUAUCUUUACCACUAAAGAGGGCAGGAUAGCAUAAAUGCAAGAAGAAAUGGCACCCAUGUUGCCCGUCAAUACUAGAAGAAUUUAAGCAUUGUUUCCUCCAACUGAGAAAAAUCAAUGUGUCCUAUGAAUAUCACCAAUAUGGGAAACAACAACAACAAUUUCUUUGUUCAUUUAUCUAGCAAUGAUUUAUUGAGUCUUUACCGCACAGAAGUCCAUGUGCUAGUAACUGGAGAGCCAAGUGGUGAGCCAAAUCCAGAUCUGACCAGUGCCCUACUGGAGCUUACAGGCUAGUGAGAAAAGUGGACAUUAAUGAAAAUAUCACACCAGAAAUGAAUCUUCCUGGAAAUACAGAGACUCUUCUAUUGAAUUUGCACGCAAGAUUUUUAACUUCUAUCUGCAGCUCCCGUAAGAGCGUAAGAUGAUUUCAAAUUACCAGUCUUGGUUGCCGGUUGCUAUCUCUUGGUUGCUACAUCGUGGAAUAUAUUAAAUUGCAUAUGGUAAUAUAUGUAAUGUGUGUACAAAAUGCCUGGCAUUUAGUAGGUGAGAAGCAGACGUCAGUUUUAUUCCCAGGCUUGUUUACUUUGCCACAAGGGAAAAAGAAGUCUGAUGUUCUGUCUGAGAUACUGCAGCUCGCUGGCUGUUUCCAAAAUUCUGGAUUAUGUCCAGCUUUUAAACUUAGACUGUGUUAGCUUUGUUAUGAAGAGGCCACUGUGCAUUUUAUGUUACUCAGAGAGUUGGAAAUGCCCAACUGCUCCAUUUCAAUGGAACCAAGACAGAGAUUUUCUUUUCUCAUGCUUAAAAAAGAGCCCCUGGAACAAUAUUCUUCAAACUGGAAUCUACUCCUGAAGGAAGAAAGGUGAUCCAGACAUAUUUUCCGGUAGGGAUGUGCUGAGUGUGGUAAGAACGUGAGAAAUCCCUGAGUCCUCCUGGAGCCACAGAUGAGCAGGGAGCGGGUGCAGGAGGCUGUCCAUGGACCAGGCACUCGAUGCCCCAAGAUCAGAGCCGGGCACCAUCGGACUUUGGUAAAGGAACAUGAGGAAGUGAUGUGCAGAUCAACAGUUUGAUCUUGCUUUCACCCGAAUGUUCUUGUCUCUGUAGAUUCUGUGACAUGAGCAGAAUCCUGCUCUCCAGGAGCAGGUGGUGAGGAGGAACCCUCCCAGCGUACUUCUGAGGGAUGCAAGGCGGAUAGGACGGCUCCGAGGACUGGGAGGUGGGUCUAAAUGUGAAAGUGUGAACUUGCUCGGCAAUUCAGUCUCUUAGCGGGUGUUGAGCGAGGGCUGCCGUGGGGUGUCUGUUGUGUGGCCCGGGGGUUUCCCUAUGGGCCCAGAGCACCUUGCUUUAAUUCAUGUGUGUUUGUGCUCCCUCAAAACGGUUCUGCACUGGAGACUGAACUCACUUUCAGACUUUAGAGGCAGAAAAGGAGGCCACCUAGAAAGAGGAAAAAAUAUGUACAAUAUUCAUGCAUUUGA